RNAcentral lists this ribosomal RNA (253 nucleotides) under uncultured bacterium. Its description in RNAcentral is "partial 16S ribosomal RNA". It matches the Rfam family "Bacterial small subunit ribosomal RNA", at positions 524 to 776 of the family's 1533-position model. The record is from RNAcentral.
UACGUAGGGGGCAAGCGUUGUCCGGAAUCAUUGGGCGUAAAGCGCGUGUAGGCGGUCCGGUAAGUCGGUUGUGAAAGUCCAGGGCUCAACCCUGGGAUGCCGAUCGAUACUGCCGGACUAGAGUCCGGAAGAGGCGAGUGGAAUUCUCGGUGUAGCGGUGAAAUGCGCAGAUAUCGGUAGGAACACCAGUGGCGAAGGCGGUCUCCUGGGGCAUUCUUGACGCUGAGGCGCGAAAGCUGGGGGAGCGAACGGG